RNAcentral lists this unclassified non-coding RNA (425 nucleotides) under soil metagenome. Its description in RNAcentral is "partial contains 5.8S ribosomal RNA, internal transcribed spacer 2, and large subunit ribosomal RNA". The stretch from base 1 to 120 matches the Rfam family "5.8S ribosomal RNA", at positions 35 to 154 of the family's 154-position model. The record is from RNAcentral.
GAUGAAGAACGUAGCGAAAUGCGAUAAGUGGUGUGAAUUGCAGAAUUCCGUGAAUCAUCGAAUCUUUGAACGCACAUUGCGCCUUCUGGUAUUCCGGAAGGCAUGCCUGUUCGAUAGUCAUUAACAACCGUUUCGAUCCCUUUCUUUCAGAAAUUACAAAGAGGAAAAGGGUUUGGUUAUGGUGGAGGAGGGAAAGGGAGCGUUUAGCCUGUAAAAAAAGAGGCUGUGUUCCGCCUCCCCCCCAAAAUUGUACAGGCGGUCGUGUGCGCCCACGCAUCGAGGUGUUGUAAAAGCUGCCACGGCACUUUUCACCUGUGCAGUGCGAGAUUGGCCAGCCGGUUUAAAAACCCCUCCAAACAAUCAAAGGUUGACCUCGGAUCAGGUAGGGAUACCCGCUGAACUUAAGCAUAUCAAUAAGCGGAGGA